GGCAACCUGGCCGAGCGGUCUAAGGCGCCAGGUUAAGGCUAGCACCUUGACGAAUAUCCUGGUCUCUUCGGAGGCGAGAGUUCGAAUCUCUCGGUUGUCA
This 100-nucleotide transfer RNA is filed under the name Yarrowia lipolytica. RNAcentral's name for it is "tRNA-Leu". It matches the Rfam family "tRNA". Rfam says of the family: Transfer RNA (tRNA) molecules are approximately 80 nucleotides in length. Their secondary structure includes four short double-helical elements and three loops (D, anti-codon, and T loops). Further hydrogen bonds mediate the characteristic L-shaped molecular structure. tRNAs have two regions of fundamental functional importance: the anti-codon, which is responsible for specific mRNA codon recognition, and the 3' end, to which the tRNAs corresponding amino acid is attached (by aminoacyl-tRNA synthetases). tRNAs cope with the degeneracy of the genetic code in two manners: having more than one tRNA (with a specific anti-codon) for a particular amino acid; and 'wobble' base-pairing, i.e. permitting non-standard base-pairing at the 3rd anti-codon position. The record is from RNAcentral. Lineage: Eukaryota; Fungi; Ascomycota; Dipodascomycetes; Dipodascales. RNAcentral also lists the same sequence under 1 other name.